CUUCCGUAGGGUGAACCUGCGGAAGGAUCAUUACUGUGAUUUAUAUCUUAUACACAUGCGUGAGCGCACCAAACACCUAAAAUUGUAAUAAUAAUUGUCAGUAAGUUUUAACAAAACAAAACUUUCAACAACGGAUCUCUUGGUUCUCGCAUCGAUGAAGAGCGCAGCGAAAUGCGAUACCUAGUGUGAAUUGCAGCCAUCGUGAAUCAUCGAGUUCUUGAACGCACAUUGCGCCCCAUGGUAUUCCAUGGGGCAUGCCUGUCUGAGCGUCGUUUCCUUCUUGCGCAAGCAGAGUUGAGAACAGGCUAUGCCUUUUUCGAAAUGGAACGUCGUGGACGAAGUGAACUAAACAUUUAGCACGCUUUGGCCGCCGAACUCUUAACUAAGCUCAACAACUGAUCCUGCGAGAUAUGCAGGAACCGCUUAU
This 427-nucleotide ribosomal RNA is filed under the name Pichia kluyveri. RNAcentral's name for it is "eukaryotic LSU rRNA". The stretch from base 120 to 272 matches the Rfam family "5.8S ribosomal RNA". Lineage: Eukaryota; Fungi; Ascomycota; Pichiomycetes; Pichiales; Pichiaceae. The record is from RNAcentral.